AGUGAACGCUGGCGGUAGGCCUAACACAUGCAAGUCGAACGGCAGCACAGUAAGAGCUUGCUCUUACGGGUGGCGAGUGGCGGACGGGUGAGGAAUACAUCGGAAUCUACUUUUUCGUGGGGGAUAACGUAGGGAAACUUACGCUAAUACCGCAUACGACCUACGGGUGAAAGCAGGGGAUCUUCGGACCUUGCGCGAUUGAAUGAGCCGAUGUCGGAUUAGCUAGUUGGCGGGGUAAAGGCCCACCAAGGCGACGAUCCGUAGCUGGUCUGAGAGGAUGAUCAGCCACACUGGAACUGAGACACGGUCCCGACUCCUACGGGAGGCAGCAGUGGGGAAUAUUGGACAAUGGGCGCAAGCCUGAUCCAGCCAUACCGCGUGGGUGAAGAAGGCCUUCUGGUUGUAAAGCCCUUUUGUUGGGAAAGAAAAGCAGCAGGUUAAUACCCCGCUGUUCUGACGGUACCCAAAGAAUAAGCACCGGCUAACUUCGUG
Molecule: ribosomal RNA, 492 nt
Filed under: uncultured bacterium
Lineage: Bacteria
Description: partial 16S ribosomal RNA
Rfam family: Bacterial small subunit ribosomal RNA
Source: RNAcentral